GGGCGGGUAGAUCAGCGGUAGAUCGCUUCGUUCGCAACGAAGAGGCCGAGGGUUCCUGCUUUCUUUUCCG
RNAcentral lists this transfer RNA (70 nucleotides) under Candidatus Micrarchaeota archaeon CG1_02_47_40. Its description in RNAcentral is "tRNA-Ala". The stretch from base 1 to 62 matches the Rfam family "tRNA". From Rfam's summary of the family: Transfer RNA (tRNA) molecules are approximately 80 nucleotides in length. Their secondary structure includes four short double-helical elements and three loops (D, anti-codon, and T loops). RNAcentral also lists the same sequence under 1 other name. Lineage: Archaea; Nanobdellati; Microcaldota. The record is from RNAcentral.